Molecule: ribosomal RNA, 273 nt
Filed under: uncultured bacterium
Lineage: Bacteria
Description: partial 16S ribosomal RNA
Rfam family: Bacterial small subunit ribosomal RNA
Source: RNAcentral
UUCCUACGGGGCGCAGCAGUCGGGAAUAUUGCGCAAUGGAGGAAACUCUGACGCAGUGACGCCGCGUAUAGGAAGAAGUUUUUCGGAAUGUAAACUAUUGUCGUUAGGGAAGAGAAAGGACAGUACCUAAGGAGGAAGCUCCGGCUAACUACGUGCCAGCAGCCGCGGUAAUACGUAGGGAGCGAGCGUUAUCCGGAAUUAUUGGGUGUAAAGGGAGCGUAGGCGGGAUUGCAAGUUGGAUGUGAAAACUGCGGGCUCAACCCGGAGCGUGCA